Molecule: ribosomal RNA, 824 nt
Filed under: uncultured bacterium
Lineage: Bacteria
Description: bacterial SSU rRNA
Rfam family: Bacterial small subunit ribosomal RNA
Source: RNAcentral
CUAGCGGCAGGCUUAACGCAUGCAAGUCGAGGGGCAGCAUGUCCAGCAAUGGAUGAUGGCGACCGCGGGAAGGGUGCGUAACGCGUGAGCAACAUGCCCUAUACAGGGAGAUACACCAGGGAAACUUGGUCUAAUAUCCCAUAGCAUUCAUUGAAGGCAUCUUUAAUGAAUUAAAGCUUCGGUGGUAUAGGAUUGGCUCGCGUGACAUUAGCCAGAUGGUGAGGUAACGGCUCACCAUAGCAAUGAUGUCUAGGGGUUUUGAGAGGAAGGCCCCCCACACUGGGACUGAGACACGGCCCAGACUCCUACGGGAGGCAGCAGUGAGGAAUAUUGGACAAUGGAUGGAAAUCUGAUCCAGCCAUGCCGCGUGCAGGAAGACGGCCUUAUGGGUUGUAAACUGCUUUUAUACGGGAGCAAUAAGGGUUACGAGUAAUCCGAUGAGAGUACUGUAUGAAUAAGGAUCGGCUAACUCCGUGCCAGCAGCCGCGGUAAUACGGAGGAUCCGAGCGUUAUCCGGAAUUAUUGGGUUUAAAGGGUGCGUAGGCGGCCAUUUAAGUCAGCGGUGAAAUUUUGCAGCUUAACUGUAACAGUGCCGUUGAUACUGUUUGGCUAGGAUUUGGUUGUAGUGUGCGGAAUGUGUGGUGUAGCGGUGAAAUGCUUAGAUAUCACACAGUACACCGAUUGCGAAGGCAGCACACUAAGUCAUUAUUGACGCUGAGGCACGAAAGUGUGGGGAUCAAACAGGAUUAGAUACCCUGGUAGUCCACACUGUAAACGAUGAUAACUCGCUGUCGGCGAUACACAGUCGGUGGCCAAGCGAAAGC